RNAcentral lists this ribosomal RNA (440 nucleotides) under uncultured bacterium. RNAcentral's name for it is "partial 16S ribosomal RNA". It matches the Rfam family "Bacterial small subunit ribosomal RNA", at positions 338 to 795 of the family's 1533-position model. The record is from RNAcentral.
CCUACGGGAGGCUGCAGUGGGGGAUAUUGCACAAUGGGCGAAAGCCUGAUGCAGCGACGCCGCGUGAGGGAAGAAGCGCCUCGGCGCGUAAAGCUCUGUCAGCAGGGAAGAAAGUGACGGUAGCUGAAGAAGAAGCCACGGCUAAAAACGAGCCAGCAGCCGCGGCAAUACGGAGGGGGCCAGCGUUAUCCGGAUUUAUUGGGUGUAAAGUGGGCGUAGGCGGGGUCGUAAGCCAGGUGUGAAAGCCCGGGGCUCAACCCGAGGACUGCAUUUGGAACUGGCUGGCUAGAGUGCAGGAGGGGCAGGCGGAAUUCCUGGUGUAGCGGUGAAAUGCGUAGAUAUCAGGAAGAACACCGGUGGCGAAGGCGGCCUGCUGGACUGCAACUGACGUUGAGGCCCGAAAGCGUGGGGAGCAAACAGGAUUAGAUACCCCAGUAGUC